Molecule: long non-coding RNA, 314 nt
Organism: Lagenorhynchus albirostris (white-beaked dolphin)
Lineage: Eukaryota; Metazoa; Chordata; Mammalia; Artiodactyla; Delphinidae
Exons: 3
Source: RefSeq, a predicted model, not a curated record
CGGUCUUUCUACUGAACUCCUUCUCCAAAGAGGACAAGGACCGAGGUCCUUCUUCCAGCCAUUCCACCGCCAGAACCAGAGUACUCGGAACAGUGCCCGGCACAAAGAGUGCCUUUGAGUUCCAGAGAACCUUGCCUGCCUGAGCUAAAGUACAGAGCUAUUCGAUGACUUCUAUUCCGGAAUGAUGUGUGAGCAAAGGGAGGACUCAAAUCUUUAGCAUCAAGAAGUCAAGGGAAGCCAAGAUCCGCCCAGAAGGCUUUUAUGGCAUAUGUUCAGCUGCCGAAGUGUCACACGAGGCUACAUGUUCACGAGAG